UUAGUACAAAACAAUAC
RNAcentral lists this transfer RNA (17 nucleotides) under Pogona minor. RNAcentral's name for it is "partial tRNA-Gly". Lineage: Eukaryota; Metazoa; Chordata; Lepidosauria; Squamata; Agamidae. The record is from RNAcentral.